GAGAUCAUACUUCACAGAAUCAUUUCUGUAGUAUGCAUUUCACCGUCUCUCUGCCAAAGAGCGACGAUACGCAGCCGCGAUGAUCGAAUCGUAGCGUUGUCCUCAGAGCGUGAAGAAGCUCUCGAUUGCAUUGAUUGCGAUCGUUAGCUUGAUGACCGCCGGAUCCUCUUCGUGGGGAACCGAUGAGGAUAACGCUUGCUGAGCGGU
RNAcentral lists this small nucleolar RNA (207 nucleotides) under Anisakis simplex (herring worm). Its description in RNAcentral is "Small nucleolar RNA U3". It matches the Rfam family "Small nucleolar RNA U3". Rfam says of the family: Small nucleolar RNAs (snoRNAs) are involved in the processing and modification of rRNA in the nucleolus. Lineage: Eukaryota; Metazoa; Nematoda; Chromadorea; Rhabditida; Anisakidae. The record is from Rfam by way of RNAcentral.